CGGAGCUAACAUGCAGCCGAGCGGUAGAGAUCUUUCGGGAUCUUGAGAGCGGCGUACGGGUGCGGAACACGUGUGCAACCUGCCUUUAUCAGGGGGAUAGCCUUUCGAAAGGAAGAUUAAUACCCCAUAAUAUAAGAGACGGCAUCGUUUUUUAUUGAAAACUCCGGUGGAUAGAGAUGGGCACGCGCAAGAUUAGAUAGUUGGUGAGGUAACGGCUCACCAAGUCAACGAUCUUUAGGGGGCCUGAGAGGGUGAUCCCCCACACUGGUACUGAGACACGGACCAGACUCCUACGGGAGGCAGCAGUGAGGAAUAUUGGACAAUGGGUGCGAGCCUGAUCCAGCCAUCCCGCGUGAAGGACGACGGCCCUAUGGGUUGUAAACUUCUUUUGUAUAGGGAUAAACCUACCCUCGUGAGGGUAGCUGAAGGUACUAUACGAAUAAGCACCGGCUAACUCCGUGCCAGCAGCCGCGGUAAUACGGAGGGUGCAAGCGUUAUCCGGAUUUAUUGGGUUUAAAGGGUCCGUAGGCUGAUUUGUAAGUCAGUGGUGAAAUCUCACAGCUUAACUGUGAAACUGCCAUUGAUACUGCAGGUCUUGAGUGUUGUUGAAGUAGCUGGAAUAAGUAGUGUAGCGGUGAAAUGCAUAGAUAUUACUUAGAACACCAAUUGCGAAGGCAGGUUACUAANCAACAACUGACGCUGAUGGACGAAAGCGUGGGGAGCGAACAGGAUUAGAUACCCUGGUAGUCCACGCCGUAAACGAUGCUAACUCGUUUUUGGGGCGCAAGUUUCAGAGACUAAGCGAAAGUGAUAAGUUAGCCACCUGGGGAGUACGAACGCAAGUUUGAAGCUCAAAGGAAUUGACGGGGCCCCGCACAAGCGGGGAUUAUGUGGUUUAAUUCGAUGAUACGCGAGGANCCUUACCAGGGCUUAAAUGGGAAAUGACAGGUUUAGAAAUAGCCUUUUCUUCGGACAUUUUCAAGGUGCUGCAUGGUUGUCCGUCAGCUCGUGCCGUGAGGGUUGUAAGGUUAAGUCCUGCAACGAGCGCAGCCCCGGUUCCUAGUUCCAGUCAUUGAGUUGGGGACUCCUAUUGANACUGGCUACGGAGAUAGAGCGAAAGGAUGGGAUGANAUCAAAUGCCCUUACNCANUNGGCCGCACAGNUAAACAAUGAUCGGUCGGNGCGGCAGCUAUAGAGNG
Molecule: ribosomal RNA, 1199 nt
Filed under: Chryseobacterium sp. BND77
Lineage: Bacteria; Pseudomonadati; Bacteroidota; Flavobacteriia; Flavobacteriales; Weeksellaceae
Description: bacterial SSU rRNA
Rfam family: Bacterial small subunit ribosomal RNA
Source: RNAcentral